UGGGGAAUUUUGGACAAUGGGCGAAAGCCUGAUCCAGCAAUGCCGCGUGUGUGAAGAAGGCCUUCGGGUUGUAAAGCACUUUUGUCCGGAAAGAAAUCCUUGGCUCUAAUACAGUCGGGGGAUGACGGUACCGGAAGAAUAAGCACCGGCUAACUACGUGCCAGCAGCCGCGGUAAUACGUAGGGUGCAAGCGUUAAUCGGAAUUACUGGGCGUAAAGCGUGCGCAGGCGGUUUGCUAAGACCGAUGUGAAAUCCCGGGCUCAACCUGGGAACUGCAUUGGUGACUGGCAGGCUAGAGUAUGGCAGAGGGGGGUAGAAUUCCACGUGUAGCAGUGAAAUGCGUAGAGAUGUGGAGGAAUGCCGAUGGCGAAGGCAGCCCCCUGGGCCAAUACUGACGCUCAUGCACGAAAGCGUGGGGAGCAAACAGGAUUAGAUACCCUGGUAGUCCACGCCCUAAACGAUGUCAACUAGUUGUUGGGGAUUCAUUUCCUUAGUAACGUAGCUAACGCGUGAAGUUGACCGCCUGGGGAGUACGGUCGCAAGAUUAAAACUCAAAGGAAUUGACGGGGUCAUAGCUGUUUCCU
This 584-nucleotide ribosomal RNA is filed under the name uncultured bacterium. RNAcentral describes it as "partial 16S ribosomal RNA". It matches the Rfam family "Bacterial small subunit ribosomal RNA", at positions 355 to 1375 of the family's 1533-position model. The record is from RNAcentral.